GACGAACGCUGGCGGCGUGCUUAACACAUGCAAGUCGAGCGAUGAAGUUUCUUCGGAAAUGGAUUAGCGGCGAACGGGUGAGGAACACGUGAAGAAUCUGCCCUCCACUUUGGGAUAACACCGGGAAACCGGUGCUAAUACCGAAUAUUGAAACAUAAGUGGCAUCACUGGGUUUUGAAAGAAUUUCGGUGGAGGAUGACUUCGCGGCCUAUCAGCUAGUUGGUGAGGUAAUGGCUCACCAAGGCAACGACGGGUAGCCGGCCCGAGAGGGCGACCGGCCACACUGGGACUGAGACACGGCCCAGACUCCUACGGGAGGCAGCAGUGGGGAAUAUUGGGCAAUGGAGGAAACUCUGACCCAGCGACGCCGCGUGCGGGAUGAAGGCCUUCGGGUUGUAAACCGCUUCCAGUAGGGAAGAAGCGAAAGUGACGGUACCUACAAAAGAAGCACCGGCUAACUAUGUGCCAGCAGCCGCCGUAA
This 481-nucleotide ribosomal RNA is filed under the name uncultured bacterium. RNAcentral's name for it is "partial 16S ribosomal RNA". It matches the Rfam family "Bacterial small subunit ribosomal RNA", at positions 28 to 523 of the family's 1533-position model. The record is from RNAcentral.